AGUGAACGCUGGCGGUAGGCCUAACACAUGCAAGUCGAACGGCAGCACAGUAAGAGCUUGCUCUUACGGGUGGCGAGUGGCGGACGGGUGAGGAAUACAUCGGAAUCUACUUUUUCGUGGGGGAUAACGUAGGGAAACUUACGCUAAUACCGCAUACGACCUACGGGUGAAAGCAGGGGAUCUUCGGACCUUGCGCGAUUGAAUGAGCCGAUGUCGGAUUAGCUAGUUGGCGGGGUAAAGGCCCACCAAGGCGACGAUCCGUAGCUGGCCUGAGAGGAUGAUCAGCCACACUGGAACUGAGACACGGUCCAGACUCCUACGGGAGGCAGCAGUGGGGAAUAUUGGACAAUGGGCGCAAGCCUGAUCCAGCCAUACCGCGUGAGUGAAGAAGGCCUUCGGGUUGUAAAGCCCUUUUGUUGGGAAAGAAAAGCAGCAGGUUAAUACCCCGCUGUUCUGACGGUACCCAAAGAAUAAGCACCGGCUAACUUCGUG
Molecule: ribosomal RNA, 492 nt
Filed under: uncultured bacterium
Lineage: Bacteria
Description: partial 16S ribosomal RNA
Rfam family: Bacterial small subunit ribosomal RNA
Source: RNAcentral